Molecule: ribosomal RNA, 254 nt
Filed under: uncultured bacterium
Lineage: Bacteria
Description: partial 16S ribosomal RNA
Rfam family: Bacterial small subunit ribosomal RNA
Source: RNAcentral
UACGGGGGGGGCAAGCGUUGUUCGGAAUUACUGGGCGUAAAGGGCUCGUAGGCGGCCAACUAAGUCGGAUGUGAAAUCCCCAGGCUUAACCUGGGAACUGCAUCCGAUACUGGAUGGCUUGAAUUCGGGAGAGGGAUGCAGAAUUCCAGGUGUAGCGGUGAAAUGCGUAGAUAUCUGGAGGAACACCGGUGGCGAAGGCGGCUUCCUGGACCGAUUACUGACGCUGAGGCGCGAAAGCUAGGGGAGCAAACGGG